RNAcentral lists this ribosomal RNA (497 nucleotides) under uncultured bacterium. RNAcentral describes it as "partial 16S ribosomal RNA". It matches the Rfam family "Bacterial small subunit ribosomal RNA", at positions 38 to 507 of the family's 1533-position model. The record is from RNAcentral.
GGGGGGGGGGGGGGGGGGGGCUGGGGGGGGGAGGGCGGGGGGGGAGGCGGGGAGGUUGCUGGGGGGGCGGGAGGGGCGGGCGGGUGAGUAAGACGUGGAUGACCUACCUAUCAGACUGGGAGAACGUCGGGAAGGCGGGGCUAGUGACGGUGAUCUAGUGGAAGCGAAGGGUUGAUUGGGAAAUGCCGGUGUGGGUGGCACUUAUGGUGGAACCGCCGCGGCAUUAGCUAGUUGGUAAGGUAUCGGCUUACCAUGGGACCGAUGCGUAGCCGACCUGAGAGGUUGAUCGGCCAACCUGGAACUGAGACACGGUCCAGACUCCUACGGGAGGCAGCAGUAGGGAAUCUUCCGCAAUGGGCGAAAGCCUGACGGAGCAACGCCGCGUGAGUGAUGAAGGUCUUCGGAUCGUAAAACUCUGUUAUUAGGGAAGAACAAAUGUGUAAGUAACUAUGCACGUCUUGACGGUACCUAAUCAGAAAGCCACGGCUAACUACGUG